This 390-nucleotide ribosomal RNA is filed under the name uncultured bacterium. RNAcentral describes it as "bacterial SSU rRNA". It matches the Rfam family "Bacterial small subunit ribosomal RNA", at positions 29 to 408 of the family's 1533-position model. The record is from RNAcentral.
AAUGAACGCUGGCGGCGCGCCUAAUACAUGCAAGUCGAGCGAGAAGACGUAGCAAUACGUUUGUAAAGCGGCGAACGGGUGAGGAAUACAUGGGUAACCUACCCUAGAGUGGGGAAUAACUAGCCGAAAGGUUAGCUAAUACCGCGUACGCUCCUUGGACUUCGGUUCAGGGAGGAAAGCGAUGCCGAGGGUAUCGCGCUCUUGGAUGGGCUCAUGUCCUAUCAGCUUGUUGGGAGGUAACGGCUCACCAAGGCUUCGACGGGUAGCUGGUCUGAGAGGACGAUCAGCCACACUGGGCACUGCGACACGGGGCCAGACUCCUACGGGAGGCAGCAGUAAGGAAUAUUGCGCAAUGGGCGAAAGCCUGACGCAGCGACGCCGCGUGGGGGA